AAAGCUAUAUGAAAAAGAUCUCCAUUCAUCCUUUGUGGCCGUUUGACGGAAAACGAAAGGCAAAAAUUGUUCAGGCACAGAACCACAUGGCAUGCUGACUGAGGAGCACUAUAUGUUGAUUGAUGUGUUCUCCCGAUUCUGUAAUGUCGAAGGUGCUGAUACAUUGCAGUCCAUGUAGACCACAGUUUGUUUGUCAACUGGAUUUUUCAAAAACUGCGUCUGUUUCAGAAGCAAAGAUGAAAGACAAUUUUAUGAAAGCAUUCCUGAGCUGGUAUGAAAUAUUCGAAUCAGUAACAACUAAUUCUGCAGAUUUUGCUGCGGACAUCACGCCAUGAGGACAUCCUGGUGUCUGGUGCGAGUGAGGACGGCUUUCUGACUGUUCGGGCAGACAAGGACUGCAGAGAGAGUGACAGCGGUUGGUACAACUCUGGUCACAUCACGGUGAAGGAGUGUGUGUGGCCCGGACAUUGAACUGUAGCUGUGGGUCUCUGCUUAUGCUGUGUGCCCGGGUGGAUUCUCACACGCCACUGUGGUGGCUGUUUAUGUUUAAUCUUUAUGUAGUUUUGUAUCUUGUUGCUUUUAUUUGAUAUGACUGUAUGAUAAAUCAAAUCUCACUGCACCUCAAGGUGCACGUGACAAUAAAGGACCAUUGAACCAUUGUUUCCUUUAUUACCAAAUUAAAGACAACUCCCCUCUCGCCUUUAAUCAUUUAAAAAUAAAAUAUUAAAAACUAUGGAGAUGAUUCUACCCAUUUAAUUUGUAAAUCUAUAAAAAAUCUUUUGCCUAAGGCUUAAUAUUUUAGGUGAUCCGUUGCAGAAUAACGAGGGAAUAGAUGUGGGCUGAGGCCUUUAGGGAGUGUGGCUAGUCAGGCUGUGCUAGUUUUAGGCUGGAGAAUAUCACAAUCUUUGCUCAAUGUAAUGGCAGAUCACCAAAGAUAUAUUUUCUCCAAUUAAUUUCCUAAGGGAAUACCAAAGGCUAUUGCAGGAUGAUGGCAUUGACAUUUUUUGGGGAUUUUUCUGCAAAAUAUACAUUAAAUUCCCUGUUAUGUUAAGCUAUUCUUGCUGCUGAUGAUAUUUUGUCUUAAUUUAGGCAAGCAGCUUUAGGAAUCCUUUGUGAAAACUAUGAGGAACCCCUUGAGAUCUGGUUAUGUUAGUCAUGAACAUUUUUGGAGAUUUCUCACAGCCCUGCUGCCCUAAAUGGGCAUAAAAUCCUGAAUAAAUCUAACUGGUUGAAAAUAGCAUUCAAGGGAUACUAAAGCAACUAAGCAGAAGCAGAAUUGAACCACCGCAAAGUGUAGCUUUAUGACCUGACAUAUCCCUUGCUCCUCCAUGACCUUCAAUCCAAGGGACCAAUCCCACAUCUAUUUGGAUCCUUUACUCAGCAGACCCUAAAUACCCCAAUACUGAAGGUGAGGUCAAAACAUUUGCAGAAUAAAAGUGUCUAACCAAAUAAAAUCUUCUUUCAGAUCACAACGAUUAACAUUUUUCCUUACAGUGCUUUUAAGCUUUUGAAUCAAUGCAUUGAACAUUUUCUUCUCAACUGAGUUGGAAUUUUAACCAGACAAAUGUAAUGUUCAAGAAAAGGUGAUGGAGGUCUCUUUGAUAUUUUGAAUGUUGUUGAACUCAAGAAUUUCUAAACAAUUCCGAUUUAUUUAACUAAUCCACUUAAUGCUAAGCUUAUCCUUUGAUGCUGAGGUGUUAGUUGAGUUUCAGUUGGCAGCGCUCAAUUCCCCACGUGGUUCAAGCCUCACUUCAAUGAGGACAAAAUCUAGGUUGGUGAUCCACUGCAGUAGUAAGAACAUUGUUUUUCAGGUGAAAUGUUAACUGGAGUACCAUUGAAUGGAGAAAAACUAUUCCACGGGCAUAUUGUGCAGCACUGCGGUCUCCCUUGCUGCCUUUCACCAAUAUUAAUAUUUCAGCCAACGAUAUUGUAACAAUGCAGCGUAAGUUUUGAAAUUCGAUGCUAGAUUAGAACAGCAACUACUUAACUAGGAUUGUAACAUCUUGAGGUUCUGAGAGGAUAAACUUCACUUUUGAACACACUGAAGACCAAGGUUAGGGGAACAUUUAAUAUAAUUCUGGACAUCAAAAUCAGUAAUAAUGGAAAUCGCAAACAUCAAAUACAAUCACUGAUGUACCAUACUGAUUUCAGUUAGGAAAACAAGAAAAUUCAUGGUUACACUUCUAACAUGGUAUAGUUAUCACCUUAACCAUUUGCGCACAAAUAAACAAAUUAAGUUAUUCUUUACAUUUUAGAGUCAUAGAGCCAUGCAGCAUGGAAAUAGACCAUUCAGUCCGACUUGUGCAUUUUGUGCGAGUCCCGUUUGCCAACAUUUGGCCCAUGAUCCUCUAAAUCCUUCCUGUCCAUAUAUAUGUCCAAAUGUAUUUUGGAAGUCAUAAUUGUAUCCACUUCUGCAUAUUCCAGAUACUGAGUGAAAAAUAUGUUCCUGAGGCCCCUCUUGAAUCUUUCUCUUCUCACCUUAAACCAUUGCUUUCAACUUUUUAGAAUCAUCUACUCUUGGGAAAAGUUUGAGUGCUCACUUUAUCCAUUCCCCUGUUUUUGGAUAAUUUAUUUUCUCUCAUUUCCAAAGGAUUCUUUUUAGUAAAAUCUUAAAUCUUCCCAGUGAUAACCUUUGUUAACAAUGGGUGCCUAAAUACUGAGUGAUUGUAAGAAACCUUAAGAAUUGGAAAAAACACAUGAGCUUCAUGAGAUCAUUUUAUUCAGGUGUGUUUUUUCCCCCAAUGAUCAAUGGAUAUUGGCCAGAAGUGUGUCUUUUAAUUUUCUACUCAACUAUGCUAAAGCUCACUGUGAUGCCUCAAUUUUUGACACAUCGCUCAACCAACUUUAAUGAUCUAUUACUGAUCUUAGUUAUUUUCUGAUUUACACAUGGUGAAUUUGCACAGUGACACACAAAGGAAGCUGACAGCAAAUACAUUUUUUGCAUAACAUUCUAGGUUCAAAAUUCAUAUUGAAGACAUAAUAAUGUUGUACUACCAAUUUGUUUAAUUUAGUUUCAGUACUUUUACAUCUUAAUUUAUGACUAAAAUGAAUAGUUUAAUUUAGUUUUUUUGUCAUGUGUACCAAGGUAUAGUGAAAAGCUUUUGUUGCAUGCUAACCAGUCAGCAGAAAGAUAAUACAUGAUUAUAAUCGAGCCAUCCACAGUGCACAAAUACGUGAUAAAGGGAAUAAUGUGAAUAACGUUUAGUGCAAGAUAAAGUUCAGGAAUGUCCGAUCAAAGAUAGUCCGAGGGUCUCCAAUGAGCAAAACAUAGUCAGUGAAUUGUUAUCACUCCAUGGCAAUUGAUAGGACUGCAAUAAUCUCCAUGAAUGUGUUGGAACCAUCAAAAUAAGUGUGGUGACUUUCUUGUUGUAAUGUAAUGUUGCCCCUUGUCUGGACCUCAAGUCCGUAAUAAAGUUUAUUAUUUAUUAUUUGUUAUAUGACUGAAAAUUUGACAAAAGGAACAGAUUGGAAGCCUUUAACUAAACUAUGUUGCACCAGCUAAGUAAUUAUGGACAAAAUAUAUCUUUAUGAUUUUAGUUUCCUCUUGCACCAACAGUUGUACAUUAAUUACAGUUU
Long non-coding RNA from Leucoraja erinaceus (little skate), 3576 nucleotides. RefSeq lists it as uncharacterized. Lineage: Eukaryota; Metazoa; Chordata; Chondrichthyes; Rajiformes; Rajidae. The transcript has 3 exons. The record is from RefSeq and is a predicted model, not a curated record.